This 439-nucleotide ribosomal RNA is filed under the name uncultured bacterium. Its description in RNAcentral is "partial 16S ribosomal RNA". It matches the Rfam family "Bacterial small subunit ribosomal RNA", at positions 339 to 795 of the family's 1533-position model. The record is from RNAcentral.
CUACGGGGGGCUGCAGUGAGGAAUAUUGCACAAUGGGGGGAACCCUGAUGCAGCAACGCCGCGUGGAGGAUGACGCAUUUCGGUGUGUAAACUCCUUCUAUAUGUCAAGAAAAUGACGGUAGCAUAUGAAUAAGCACCGGCUAACUCCGUGCCAGCAGCCGCGGUAAUACGGAGGGUGCAAGCGUUACUCGGAAUCACUGGGCGUAAAGGACGCGUAGGCGGGUUGGAAAGUCAGGUGUGAAAUCCUACAGCUUAACUGUAGAACUGCACUUGAAACUUCUAAUCUAGAGUAUGGGAGGGGGAGAUGGAAUUAGUGGUGUAGGGGUAAAAUCCGUAGAUAUCACUAGGAAUACCUAAAGCGAAGGCGAUCUCCUGGAACAUAACUGACGCUAAGGCGUGAAAGCGUGGGGAGCAAACAGGAUUAGAUACCCCCGUAGUC